UCGGGGAUUAAUUUCNUUGGUAACGCAGCUAACGCGUGAAGUAGACCGCCUGGGGAGUACGGUCGCAAGAUUAAAACUCAAAGGAAUUGACGGGGACCCGCACAAGCGGUGGAUGAUGUGGAUUANUUCGAUGCAACGCGAAAAACCUUACCUACGCUUGACAUGUCCGGAACCCUGAAGAGAUUUGGGGGUGCUCGAAAGAGAGCCGGAACACAGGUGCUGCAUGGCUGUCGUCAGCUCGUGUCGUGAGAUGNNNNNNNNNNNNNCGCAACGAGCGCAACCCUUAUCAUUAGUUGCUACGCAAGGGCACUCUAAUGAGACUGCCGGUGACAAACNGGAGGAAGGUGGGGAUGACGUCAAGUCCUCAUGGCCCUUAUGUGUAGGGCUUCACACGUCAUACAAUGGUCGGUACAGAGGGUUGCGAAGCCGCGAGGUGGAGCCAAUCCCAAAAAACCGAUCGUAGUCCGGAUUGCAGUCUGCAACUCGACUGCAUGAAGUCGGAAUCGCUAGUAAUCGCGGAUCAGCAUGCCGCGGUGAAUACGUUCCCGGGUNU
Molecule: ribosomal RNA, 553 nt
Filed under: uncultured bacterium
Lineage: Bacteria
Description: partial 16S ribosomal RNA
Rfam family: Bacterial small subunit ribosomal RNA
Source: RNAcentral